GAUGAACGCUGGCGGCGCGCCUAACACAUGCAAGUCGAACGGUUAAAGCACCUUUUAGGUGUGUAUAAAGUGGCGAACGGCUGAGUAACACGUGGGCAACCUGCCCUCCUCUUGGGGAUAGCCUCGGGAAACCGAGGAUAAUACCCGAUACUUCAAUGUGGCCGCAUGACGACAUUGAGAAAGCUUUUGCGGAGAAGGAUGGGCCCGCGGCCUGUUAGCUUGUUGGUGGGGUAGAGGCCUACCAAGGCAAUGAUGGGUAGCUGGGUUGAGAGACCGACCAGCCAGAUUGGGACUGAGACACGGCCCAGACUCCUACGGGAGGCAGCAGUGGGGAAUCUUGCACAAUGGGCGAAAGCCUGAUGCAGCGACGCCGCGUGCGGGACGAAGGCCUUUCGGGUUGUAAACCGCUUUCCAGCAGGGACGAGGCGAAAGUGACGGUACCUGCAGAAGAAGCCCC
RNAcentral lists this ribosomal RNA (457 nucleotides) under Lancefieldella rimae. Its description in RNAcentral is "bacterial SSU rRNA". It matches the Rfam family "Bacterial small subunit ribosomal RNA", at positions 28 to 494 of the family's 1533-position model. The record is from RNAcentral. Lineage: Bacteria; Bacillati; Actinomycetota; Coriobacteriia; Coriobacteriales; Atopobiaceae.